UACGGGAGGCAGCAGUGGGGAAUAUUGCACAAUGGGCGCAAGCCUGAUGCAGCCAUGCCGCGUGUAUGAAGAAGGCCUUCGGGUUGUAAAGUACUUUCAGUCGUGAGGAAGGUGUUAAGGUUAAUAACCUUAGCAAUUGACGUUAGCGACAGAAGAAGCACCGGCUAACUCCGUGCCAGCAGCCGCGGUAAUACGGAGGGUGCGAGCGUUAAUCGGAAUUACUGGGCGUAAAGGGCACGCAGGCGGUUAAUUAAGUUGGAUGUGAAAUCCCCGGGCUUAACCUGGGAAUGGCAUUCAAGACUGGUUAGCUAGAGUCUUGUAGAGGGGGUAGAAUUCCGAUGUGUAGCGGUGAAAUGCGUAGAGAUGUGGAGGAAUACCGGUGGCGAAAGGCGGCCCCUGGACAAAGCUGACGCUCAUGGUGCGAAAGCGUGGGGAGCAAAC
Molecule: ribosomal RNA, 441 nt
Filed under: uncultured bacterium
Lineage: Bacteria
Description: bacterial SSU rRNA
Rfam family: Bacterial small subunit ribosomal RNA
Source: RNAcentral